UCCUUCUCAAUAUCUCUGUGUUUUGAAGGG
Molecule: non-coding RNA, 30 nt
Filed under: Rattus norvegicus (Norway rat)
Lineage: Eukaryota; Metazoa; Chordata; Mammalia; Rodentia; Muridae
Source: RNAcentral